CCUACGGGUGGCAGCAGUGGGGAAUAUUGCACAAUGGGGGAAACCCUGAUGCAGCAACGCCGCGUGAGUGAUGAAGGUUUUCGGAUCGUAAAACUCUGUCUUUGAGGAAGAUAAUGACGGUACCCAAGGAGGAAGCCACGGCUAACUACGUGCCAGCAGCCGCGGUAAUACGUAGGUGGCGAGCGUUAUCCGGAUUUACUGGGCGUAAAGGGAGCGUAGGCGGAUGAUUAAGUGGGAUGUGAAAUACCCGGGCUCAACUUGGGUGCUGCAUUCCAAACUGGUUAUCUAGAGUGCAGGGGAGGGGAGGUGGAAUCCCUAGGGAGCGGGUGAAUGCGGUGGGGUUAGGAAAAAACCCAAGUGCGAAGGGGACUUCUUGGACUGUAACCUGCCGCGAGGCUCGGAAGGCGUGGGAGCAAACAGGAUUAGAUACCCGGGUAGUC
RNAcentral lists this ribosomal RNA (440 nucleotides) under uncultured bacterium. Its description in RNAcentral is "bacterial SSU rRNA". It matches the Rfam family "Bacterial small subunit ribosomal RNA", at positions 338 to 795 of the family's 1533-position model. The record is from RNAcentral.